This is a non-coding RNA of Picea glauca (white spruce), 127 nucleotides long. NCBI's taxonomy places the organism in Eukaryota, Viridiplantae, Streptophyta, Pinopsida, Pinales, Pinaceae. The record is from Rfam.
UAUUAGGUACAUGCCUCCAACAAAGCGUUAGUCCACCAAAUCCCAUUGGAACUCUGCAGCUAAGCGCGCUUGGGCUAGAGUAGUACUGGGAUGGGUGACCACCUGAGAAGUCCUAUUGUUUUACUUU